GCAUAUCAAUAAGCGGAGGAAAAGAAACUAACAAGGAUUCCCCUAGUAACGGCGAGUGAAGAGGGAAAAGCUCAAAUUUUAAAUCUACCUGGUUCCCAGGUCGAAUUGUAAUUUGAAGAAGCGAUAUCGGUGUGGAGGUCUGGUUCAAGUUCUUUGGAACAAGACAUCAUGGAGGGUGAGAAUCCCGUGCAUGAUCAGACCAAAAUACUUAAUAUUCGUUUUCUAAGAGUCGAGUUGUUUGGGAAUGCAGCUCAAAAUGGGUGGUAGACUUCACCUAAGGCUAAAUAUCAGCGAGAGACCGAUAGCGAACAAGUACUGUGAAGGAAAGAUGAAAAGAACUUUGAAAAGAGAGUUAAAUAGUACGUGAAAUUGUUGAAAGGGAAACGAUUGAAGUCAGUCAUGCUAGUGAAAAAUCAGUUUGACGGGUUUUGAGUUCGGGAGUAGAGGCAGGGUCAAACCGUUUCUCUUUUGGACUUGGGAUUUGUCGGAUGUACUUUUUCUUUGGCAGGUCAGCGUCGGUUUCGGAGGUUGUAAAAUACUUGGGGGAAAGUAGCUCUGCUUCGGGAGAGUAUUAUAGACCCUGGGGGAUGCAGCCUGUGGGAUCGAGGAUUGCAGCAAAUGCCUUUGGCUUGUCGCCUGAUCUCUGGAUGUUACCUUGCUUGUGACAACAUUCUUGCCACCGGUGAGUACUGAUGCCCAUUAGGUUAGAACGAUCAAAAAUUUGCUAAGGAUGCUGACGUAAUGGCUUUAAACGAC
RNAcentral lists this ribosomal RNA (756 nucleotides) under uncultured Diversispora. Its description in RNAcentral is "eukaryotic LSU rRNA". It matches the Rfam family "Eukaryotic large subunit ribosomal RNA", at positions 38 to 648 of the family's 3401-position model. The record is from RNAcentral. Lineage: Eukaryota; Fungi; Glomeromycota; Glomeromycetes; Diversisporales; Diversisporaceae.